CCCUUAGAUGUUCUGGGCCGCACGCGCGCUACAAUGAUGAAUUCAACGAGUUUAUAACCUUGGUUGAAAAGCCUGGGUAAUCUUUUGAACUUUCGUCGUGAUGGGGCUAGACCCUUGCAAUUAUUGGUCUCCAACGAGGAAUUCCUAGUAAACGCAAGUCAUCAGCUUGCGUUGAUUACGUCCCUGCCCUUUGUACACACCGCCCGUCGCACCUACCGAUUGAAUGGUCCGGUGAAAUCUUCGGAUUGAGACUUUGAUUUCUUCACGGAAAACGCUGUUUUAAAAAGUUGAUUAAACCUUACCAUUUAGAGGAAGGUGAAGUCGUAACA
Molecule: ribosomal RNA, 329 nt
Filed under: uncultured eukaryote
Lineage: Eukaryota
Description: partial 18S ribosomal RNA
Rfam family: Eukaryotic small subunit ribosomal RNA
Source: RNAcentral